RNAcentral lists this ribosomal RNA (433 nucleotides) under uncultured bacterium. Its description in RNAcentral is "partial 16S ribosomal RNA". It matches the Rfam family "Bacterial small subunit ribosomal RNA", at positions 29 to 507 of the family's 1533-position model. The record is from RNAcentral.
AACGAACGCUGGCGGCAUGCCUAACACAUGCAAGUCGAACGAGACCUUCGGGUCUAGUGGCGCACGGGUGCGUAACGCGUGGGAACCUGCCCUUAGGUUCGGAAUAACUCCCCGAAAGGGGUGCUAAUACCGGAUAAUGUCUUCGGACCAAAGAUUUAUCGCCUUUGGAUGGGCCCGCGUUGGAUUAGCUAGUUGGUAGGGUAAAAGCCUACCAAGGCGACGAUCCAUAGCUGGUCUGAGAGGAUGAUCAGCCACACUGGGACUGAGACACGGCCCAGACUCCUACGGGAGGCAGCAGUGGGGAAUACUAGACGAUGGGCGCAGGCCUGAUCCAGCAAUGCCGCGUGAGUGAUGAAGGCCUUAGGGUUGUAAAGCUCUUUUACCCGGGGUGAUAAUGACAGUACUGGGAAAAUAAGCACCGGCUAACUCCGUG